This 480-nucleotide ribosomal RNA is filed under the name uncultured bacterium. RNAcentral's name for it is "partial 16S ribosomal RNA". It matches the Rfam family "Bacterial small subunit ribosomal RNA", at positions 28 to 507 of the family's 1533-position model. The record is from RNAcentral.
GACGAACGCUGGCGGCGCGCUUAACACAUGCAAGUCGAGCGAUGAAACUUUAACAGAACCCUUCGGGGCGAAGAUAAAGUGGAUUAGCGGCGGACGGGUGAGUAACACGUGAGUAACCUGCCUUAGACAUUGGGAUAGCCUCGGGAAACCGGGAUUAAUACCAAAUAAAAUCAUAAUGACACAUGUCAUAACGAUCAAAACUCCGGUGGUCUAAGAUGGACUCGCGUCCCAUUAGCUAGUUGGUAGAGUAAAAGCCUACCAAGGCGACGAUGGGUAGCCGGCCUGAGAGGGUGAACGGCCACAUUGGGACUGAGAAACGGUCCAAACUCCUACGGGAGGCAGCAGUGGGGAAUAUUGCACAAUGGAGGGAACUCUGAUGCAGCGACGCCGCGUGAACGAAGAAGGCUUUCGAGUCGUAAAGUUCUUUUAUAUGGGAAGAUAAUGACGGUACCAUAAGAAAAAGCCCCGGCUAACUACGUG